UACCUACGGGAGGCAGCAGUGGGGAAUAUUGCGCAUUGGGGGGAACCCUGACGCAGCAACGCCGCGUGCAGGAAGAAGGUCUUCGGAUUGUAAACUGUUGUCGCAGGGGAAGAAGACAGUGACGGUACCCUGUGAGAAAGUCACGGCUAACUACGUGCCAGCAGCCGCGGUAAUACGUAGGAUGCGAGCGUUAUCCGGAUUUAUUGGGUUUAAAGGGUGCGCAGGCGGAGGUGCAAGUCAGCGGUCAAAUUGCGGGGCUCAACCCCGUACUGCCGUUGAAACUGCAUCCCUUGAGUGCGCGAGAA
Molecule: ribosomal RNA, 305 nt
Filed under: uncultured bacterium
Lineage: Bacteria
Description: bacterial SSU rRNA
Rfam family: Bacterial small subunit ribosomal RNA
Source: RNAcentral